This 301-nucleotide ribosomal RNA is filed under the name uncultured bacterium. RNAcentral describes it as "partial 16S ribosomal RNA". It matches the Rfam family "Bacterial small subunit ribosomal RNA", at positions 509 to 807 of the family's 1533-position model. The record is from RNAcentral.
CAGUCGCCACGGGAAUACGGAGGGGGCUAGCGUUGUUCGGAAUCACUGGGCGUAAAGCGCACGUAGGCGGCUUUGCAAGUCAGAGGUGAAAGCCCGGGGCUCAACCCCGGAAUAGCCUUUGAGACUGCAUCGCUUGAACGUCGGAGAGGUGAGUGGAAUUCCGAGUGUAGAGGUGAAAUUCGUAGAUAUUCGGAAGAACACCAGUGGCGAAGGCGGCUCACUGGACGACUGUUGACGCUGAGGUGCGAAAGCGUGGGGAGCAAACAGGAUUAGAUACCCCAGUAGUCCCUGUCUCUUAUAC